GCCGAUGUGUUGGAACUGGCAGACGAGACGGACUCAAAAUCCGUUGCGGGCAACCGCGUGUGGGUUCGACCCCCACCAUCGGCACCA
RNAcentral lists this transfer RNA (87 nucleotides) under Candidatus Ruthenibacterium merdavium. Its description in RNAcentral is "tRNA-Leu". It matches the Rfam family "tRNA". Rfam says of the family: Transfer RNA (tRNA) molecules are approximately 80 nucleotides in length. Their secondary structure includes four short double-helical elements and three loops (D, anti-codon, and T loops). The record is from RNAcentral. Lineage: Bacteria; Bacillati; Bacillota; Clostridia; Eubacteriales; Oscillospiraceae.